RNAcentral lists this unclassified non-coding RNA (673 nucleotides) under Hevea brasiliensis (rubber tree). The record is from RNAcentral. Lineage: Eukaryota; Viridiplantae; Streptophyta; Magnoliopsida; Malpighiales; Euphorbiaceae.
AAAAAAAAAAAAAAAAAAAAUCCGAUUCACUCCUCUCUCGGUAAUCCUCUUGCUCUAAAGAGGCUUUACCUUGUAUUUGUAUAACAUAAGGGUUUGGUAAGAGUCAUAAUGAUGUAGGUAUAUUGGAUUGACAAAAUACAGUUACAGGUGGAUUAUCUAUUUACUCAUGACCUAACUAUUUAUACAUUAGUGUUUUUAAAUUAACUUAAAGGUGAUGAUGUUAGUUAAAGCUUUGAUUGACCAUUUAACUUUAAUGCUCACAGUUUAGCUUUAUAUAUAAUGGUCAUAGGCAAGGUAAAAGCUUUUAGAAUUUAAUGGCUUGCAAAACAUUGAAUUCUGGUGGUCUUUUACAUUUCUAGCCAAUUUAUAUUGAUAUUCAUAGUGGAGACUGUAGAAGCAGAAAAAUAACGCAGGAAGAAUACUGGAAGAGUUAAUUAUAUAGUAUGCAUUUGCCUUUCUUUCAUCUUCAGAAGAUGGAAAAGCAUUUUUGGUUGGUUGAGUUGCUACUGGAUGUUCAAAUAGGGAUGGGUUCUGUCUAUUCCUUGUUACCCAAUUCUUUUUAGAGAUAAUAUAUUUUAGCUUUAUAAUUUCCUUGCACUAGCUUAUUGUUUGUCUGGAUGAUUGUCACCCAAUGCUUCUUUUUAAUUUGUGCAGAAAAUGCUUUUGCCUUGUG